Phyllostomus hastatus (greater spear-nosed bat) is the source of this 1146-nucleotide long non-coding RNA. RefSeq lists it as uncharacterized. The transcript is spliced from 3 exons. NCBI's taxonomy places the organism in Eukaryota, Metazoa, Chordata, Mammalia, Chiroptera, Phyllostomidae. The record is from RefSeq and is a predicted model, not a curated record.
CCCUGCAAUGUCUCUUGCCAUGGACACGCAUGUGCCUAUUCCUUCACGGGGCAUUUUACGUGUGUGUGUUGAGUGUCCGCUCUGUGCCAAGCAGUCCCCCAGGUGCAUGGGACGCAGCAAGCAGCCCCAGUGCAAGGCUCUCGGGGCAUCAGACUGAACACGGACGAAGACCGCGGUGCAGCAUGGCCGCAGUCCAUCGUAGACGUCAGAGUGCGCUCAUCUGUCAUGUCUGCCGAAGAACUGGGACCUUCUGGAUUAAGUCGCUAACCAGGGCUCCCUCCUCCUAAGAAGAAUGUAUUUGUGCGUCAGAUGCUGUAUAAAGUACUAGCCAGUGUUCAGAGCUUUGAGAGGAGCGAGGGUCUGAGGGACAGGGCCCACGACGGGAGGAGACAGUGACAGUGACGGAAGUGACCGGAAGCCAGCUCCGUGUGCGCAGGCUCCGUGCUAACCCAGCGGGACUGCUCCAGAGAAAGAGGCCCGAAAACAUGACUCAGAGAACUUGGAGGAAAGGCCAGCAGCACGCCUUUGGCCGGCACCCAGCACCAUGCCCAGGGUGCGCUGACCCUCCAGUGGAGGGCCAAGGGCGCAUUCAAGUCACACAGCCCUUCCUGUGACCCACAAAACUGAGCAGGAAAUGCACAUUUGUAAGAAGAUAUAAAGCAACAUUGUUCGCUGCACUAACAAGUCCUGAAAGUCCCUCAGCCAAGGGGGAAGAGGCAAAAUGAGAAAUGUUUUUUAACAAAAAAAAAAAAGAGAGAGAGAGAGAGAAAAGGGAAACAGAAAAAAAAACAACAGCUCUGGGGGGAGGCCCACGUGAGGGGCUGGGGCCCGGGGAGCAGGGCUCAGGGAUGUCCCCUCUGGCAUCUGUCCCUCCUGCUCCGUCUCCUGGCUCUUCAGGGGGAGGCUGGAAGCACGGGAAGAAAAUAUCCACGGAGCUCACUCUCCUUUAGGUCUUAAAAUGGGGAAACACCCAAUCCCCUUUAUGAAAAUUCAAGUAGAAACUGAUACGUCGUUUAUCAUUAAUGAUCCAACUUAAAGCAGGAAAGGAGCUAUGGUAUCAAAAAUGUAAAUCAGACCUCCAGGCAUGGAGUAAGUCUUCUUACUCGCAUGGAUCAGACUAUCAGUCCUGUUAUCUGAAGUAGACAG